AUUCUCUUUGCAUUCUUCAUUCCGAACCAAUCUUUCGCCUUUUACUAAACAUUUCCGUGGAGAAGAAGUUGCAGAGGCUAUGAAAAAUUUUGAUCCUCAGCCUGAGCAGAGU
Molecule: small nuclear RNA, 112 nt
Organism: Syngnathus typhle (broad-nosed pipefish)
Lineage: Eukaryota; Metazoa; Chordata; Actinopteri; Syngnathiformes; Syngnathidae
Product: U5 spliceosomal RNA
Exons: 1
Source: RefSeq, a predicted model, not a curated record